ACGUACGCUGGCGGCACGCCUAACACAUGCAAGUCGAACGAAGUAGCAAUACUUAGUGGCAGACGGGUGAGUAACAUGUGGGUAUCUGCCCUUUGGCCUGGAAUAACACGAGGAAACUUGUGCUAAUACCGGAUAAGUCUUUACGGAGAAAGCUUUAUGCACCAUUGGAUGAGCCCGCACUUGAUUAGUUAGUUGGUAGGGUAAUGGCCUACCAAGACUGUGAUCAAUAGCUGAUUUGAGAGGAUGAUCAGCCACAUUGGGACUGAGACACGGCCCAAACUCCUACGGGAGGCAGCAGUGGGGAAUCUUGCACAAUGGAGGAAACUCUGAUGCAGCGAUGCCGCGUGAGUGAAGAAGGCCCUUGGGUUGUAAAGCUCUUUCGUCGGGGAAGAAAAUGACUGUACCCGAAUAAGAAGGUCCGGCUAACUUCGUGCCAGCAGCCGCGGUAAUACGAAGGGACCUAGCGUAGUUCGGAAUUACUGGGCUUAAAGAGUUCGUAGGUGGUUGAAAAAGUUAGUGGUGAAAUCCCAGAGCUUAACUCUGGAACUGCCAUUAAAACUUUUCAGCUAGAGUAUGAUAGAGGAAAGCAGAAUUUCUAGUGUAGAGGUGAAAUUCGUAGAUAUUAGAAAGAAUACCAAUUGCGAAGGCAGCUCUACUGGAUCAUUA
RNAcentral lists this ribosomal RNA (666 nucleotides) under alpha proteobacterium IMCC14806. RNAcentral describes it as "bacterial SSU rRNA". It matches the Rfam family "Bacterial small subunit ribosomal RNA", at positions 29 to 739 of the family's 1533-position model. Lineage: Bacteria; Pseudomonadati; Pseudomonadota; Alphaproteobacteria. The record is from RNAcentral.